GUGUGUGUGUGUGUGUGUGUGUAUUUCUCUCUCUCUCUCUCUACACAUAUAUGCACAUACACACAGAGAGAGAGAGAAAUACACACAAACACAUUU
Podarcis lilfordi (Lilford's wall lizard) is the source of this 96-nucleotide non-coding RNA. The record is from the annotation of a GenBank genome assembly. Lineage: Eukaryota; Metazoa; Chordata; Lepidosauria; Squamata; Lacertidae.